UUCUCCUGGAAACGGGUGGUAAUGCCGGAUGCUCCGACUCCUCGCAUGGGGUGUCGGGAAAGAUUUCAUCGGUAUGGGAUGGGGUCGCGUCCUAUCAGGUAGUCGGCGGGGUAACGGCCCACCGAGCCUACGACGGGUAGCCGGCCUGAGAGGGCGACCGGCCACAUUGGGACUGAGAUACGGCCCAGACUCCUACGGGAGGCAGCAGUGGGGAAUAUUGCACAAUGGGCGCAAGCCUGAUGCAGCGACGCCGCGUGCGGGAUGACGGCCUUCGGGUUGUAAACCGCUUUUGAUCGGGAGCAAGCCUUCGGGUGAGUGUACCUUUCGAAUAAGCACCGGCUAACUACGUGCCAGCAGCCGCGGUAAUACGUAGGGUGCAAGCGUUAUCCGGAAUUAUUGGGCGUAAAGGGCUCGUAGGCGGUUCGUCGCGUCCGGUGUGAAAGUCCAUCGCUUAACGGUGGAUCUGCGCCGGGUACGGGCGGGCUGGAGUGCGGUAGGGGAGACUGGAAUUCCCGGUGUAACGGUGGAAUGUGUA
This 535-nucleotide ribosomal RNA is filed under the name Bifidobacterium pseudocatenulatum. RNAcentral's name for it is "bacterial SSU rRNA". It matches the Rfam family "Bacterial small subunit ribosomal RNA", at positions 145 to 692 of the family's 1533-position model. The record is from RNAcentral. Lineage: Bacteria; Bacillati; Actinomycetota; Actinomycetes; Bifidobacteriales; Bifidobacteriaceae.